UACCUCUUGAUAACAGCUCUGAAAUGCACGC
This 31-nucleotide non-coding RNA is filed under the name Homo sapiens (human). Lineage: Eukaryota; Metazoa; Chordata; Mammalia; Primates; Hominidae. The record is from RNAcentral.